Molecule: ribosomal RNA, 490 nt
Filed under: uncultured bacterium
Lineage: Bacteria
Description: partial 16S ribosomal RNA
Rfam family: Bacterial small subunit ribosomal RNA
Source: RNAcentral
AUUGAACGCUGGCGGCAUGCCUUACACAUGCAAGUCGAACGGCAGCAUGAUCUAGCUUGCUAGAUUGAUGGCGAGUGGCGAACGGGUGAGUAAUACAUCGGAACGUGCCCUGUAGUGGGGGAUAACUAGUCGAAAGAUUAGCUAAUACCGCAUACGACCUGAGGGUGAAAGUGGGGGACCGCAAUGCCUCAUGCUAUAGGAGCGGCCGAUGUCUGAUUAGCUAGUUGGUGAGGUAAAGGCUCACCAAGGCGACGAUCAGUAGCUGGUCUGAGAGGACGAUCAGCCACACUGGGACUGAGACACGGCCCAGACUCCUACGGGAGGCAGCAGUGGGGAAUUUUGGACAAUGGGCGAAAGCCUGAUCCAGCAAUGCCGCGUGUGUGAAGAAGGCCUUCGGGUUGUAAAGCACUUUUGUCCGGAAAGAAAUGGCUCUGGUUAAUACCUGGGGUCGAUGACGGUACCGGAAGAAUAAGGACCGGCUAACUACGUG